This 253-nucleotide ribosomal RNA is filed under the name uncultured bacterium. Its description in RNAcentral is "partial 16S ribosomal RNA". It matches the Rfam family "Bacterial small subunit ribosomal RNA", at positions 524 to 776 of the family's 1533-position model. The record is from RNAcentral.
UACGUAGGGGGCAAGCGUUAUCCGGAUUUACUGGGUGUAAAGGGAGCGUAGACGGCGAUGCAAGUCUGAAGUGAAAGCCCGGGGCUCAACCCCGGGACUGCUUUGGAAACUGUAUGGCUAGAGUGCUGAAGAGGCAAGCGGAAUUCCUAGUGUAGCGGUGAAAUGCGUAGAUAUUAGGAAGAACACCAGUGGCGAAGGCGGCUUGCUGGACAGUAACUGACGUUGAGGCUCGAAAGCGUGGGGAGCAAACAGG